Long non-coding RNA from Dama dama (fallow deer), 458 nucleotides. RefSeq lists it as uncharacterized. The record is from RefSeq and is a predicted model, not a curated record. The transcript has 5 exons. NCBI's taxonomy places the organism in Eukaryota, Metazoa, Chordata, Mammalia, Artiodactyla, Cervidae.
AGGUCUUUCCCUGAAGAAAUGAGGGAGAUUCUUUGAAUGAAACUAGAUUUCCCAAAACAUUUUCAAACUCAACAUAUAGAAAAAGUCACACAGUGGAUAAAAUGGGAACAGAAGUCGGAAGACCCUCAUGACAAGGCAUGAGCAAAGGCCUUAACACAUGCUUGCUUCUGAUACAAGUCGUGAGAGCUGCCCUGGGACCUCAGUGCUUGCCUGUCUCUGAACUGUGCUCCACCUUCCUGAGGCCUGGCUGGGGAAGAAACACAUGAUGGAUACCUUCAAGAAAAUAAAUUCUGCAAGUUCAGAGAAUGAUUCGUGAAUAGAGUUACAUUAUUAAAAUUUGAGCUUCUAUCUGGUAUGGAGUAUAAUCCCUUCAUUUUUUCGGCAAGUGACAAUGUUCAAUAGAAAUGGGUGUUAUUUAUUAUCUUUGUAAAAGAUUUACUUCUACAUCCAGGCUAAAG